GUCACGCCGUAAACGAUGUCUACUAGCCGUUGGGACUCUUGAAGUCUUAGUGGCGCAGCUAACGCACUAAGUAGACCGCCUGGGGAGUACGGCCGCAAGGUUAAAACUCAAAUGAAUUGACGGGGGCCCGCACAAGCGGUGGAGCAUGUGGUUUAAUUCGACGCAACGCGAAGAACCUUACCUGGCCUUGACAUGCAGAGAACUUUCCAGAGAUGGAUUGGUGCCUUCGGGAACUCUGACACA
RNAcentral lists this ribosomal RNA (243 nucleotides) under uncultured bacterium. RNAcentral's name for it is "partial 16S ribosomal RNA". It matches the Rfam family "Bacterial small subunit ribosomal RNA", at positions 794 to 1036 of the family's 1533-position model. The record is from RNAcentral.